AACCCAUGGUGAAGGCACCUUCUUAAAUGGUUCUUGUAUCUCUCCCAUGCAUUGUAGAGUGUUUCUAAAUCCAUCUGCACAAAAGAAGAGAUAUCAUUACGUAAUUU
Gossypium arboreum is the source of this 107-nucleotide small nucleolar RNA. It matches the Rfam family "Plant small nucleolar RNA R71". From Rfam's summary of the family: R71 is a member of the C/D box family of snoRNAs containing the C (UGAUGA) and D (CUGA) box motifs. NCBI's taxonomy places the organism in Eukaryota, Viridiplantae, Streptophyta, Magnoliopsida, Malvales, Malvaceae. The record is from Rfam.